Dreissena polymorpha is the source of this 752-nucleotide long non-coding RNA. RefSeq lists it as uncharacterized. The transcript is spliced from 3 exons. The record is from RefSeq and is a predicted model, not a curated record. Lineage: Eukaryota; Metazoa; Mollusca; Bivalvia; Myida; Dreissenidae.
UCUUUUGAAGUAAAACAGUUCAUUUGUCAUUAAAUAUUGAAUGUUAACGGGUGAACUAGCAUUCGGAUAUUUCACAUUUCGGACGCUGCUAUAUAAGUUAGUUGUCGACGCAAUAUCCUGAUAUGCCUUUUGCGCAUAAAGUUUUGAAGUUUUUUUCUAUCUAAUGAAUAAUAAAUAAUGCACUGUAUAAUGUCUGCAAUAUCUGCCCCAACGAUUAUAAGUCAUAAACUUUGCAAUCCCAACAUUUGAAUAUCAAUGCUCUGUCAAUAUUAGAUUUAUGAAUAUUAAAGUAUAGUUUAUUUGCAGAUUCAUUGAGAUUAUGUCAAAAUGGCUUGGGUCAACACACACGACCGUCGACGCCUCUGUCUUUGUCCGUGGUUUGAAGACUUUUCUGGAAGAAAACCACAAGAGACACCUACUGGGGGAGUCCGGCUAUCAACAAUAGGUUCAACAAUGCCCAGUCAAGUGUACUGUGGUUGAUAGGGCUUUUGGACUGCCAAAGAGUAGAUUUAGGUGUCCGCAUAAAACUGGUGGUUGUUUAUUCAUGAGACUCGAUGAGUGCUGUCAAGCAGUGGCUGCAUGAAUGCGCCUGCACAACUUAUGCAUAGAUUAGCAGGUGCCACUGCCUGAACAACUUACUUAGGCACAAGAAGUGGAUGACGUUGUGCACAGUCCACAACAGGACCAAAAUGCAGCUUAUAUGGACAACGCAUCAUUAACUUAUUUAUGUAGUUGCUAUUUUAUGCUCACAU